RNAcentral lists this transfer RNA (92 nucleotides) under Lentzea fradiae. Its description in RNAcentral is "Lechevalieria fradiae tRNA_Opal_TCA". It matches the Rfam family "Selenocysteine transfer RNA". The record is from RNAcentral. Lineage: Bacteria; Bacillati; Actinomycetota; Actinomycetes; Pseudonocardiales; Pseudonocardiaceae.
GGAGGCGUAUCCGGUCUGGUGUCCGGCGCGGUCUUCAACACCGACGGGCGGCAGGACCUGCCGCCGGCGGGUUCGAUUCCCGUCCGCCUCCG